Molecule: ribosomal RNA, 253 nt
Filed under: uncultured bacterium
Lineage: Bacteria
Description: partial 16S ribosomal RNA
Rfam family: Bacterial small subunit ribosomal RNA
Source: RNAcentral
UACGGAGGGGGCUAGCGUUGUUCGGAAUUACUGGGCGUAAAGCGCGCGUAGGCGGCUUUGUAAGUUAGAGGUGAAAGCCCGGAGCUUAACUCCGGAACUGCCUUUAAGACUGCAUCGCUAGAAUUGUGGAGAGGUAAGUGGAAUUCCGAGUGUAGAGGUGAAAUUCGUAGAUAUUCGGAAGAACACCAGUGGCGAAGGCGACUCACUGGACAUGUAUUGACGCUGAGGUACGAAAGCGUGGGGAGCAAACAGG